This 465-nucleotide ribosomal RNA is filed under the name uncultured Neisseriaceae bacterium. RNAcentral's name for it is "bacterial SSU rRNA". It matches the Rfam family "Bacterial small subunit ribosomal RNA", at positions 338 to 795 of the family's 1533-position model. The record is from RNAcentral. Lineage: Bacteria; Pseudomonadati; Pseudomonadota; Betaproteobacteria; Neisseriales; Neisseriaceae.
CCUACGGGCGGCAGCAGUGGGGAAUUUUGGACAAUGGGGGCAACCCUGAUCCAGCCAUGCCGCGUGUAUGAAGAAGGCCUUCGGGUUGUAAAGUACUUUUGUUAGGGAAGAAAAGGGAAGUGUUAAUACCACUUUUUGCUGACGGUACCUAAAGAAUAAGCACCGGCUAACUACGUGCCAGCAGCCGCGGUAAUACGUAGGGUGCGAGCGUUAAUCGGAAUUACUGGGCGUAAAGCGAGCGCAGACGGUUACUUAAGCAGGAUGUGAAAUCCCCGGGCUCAACCUGGGAACUGCGUUCUGAACUGGGUGACUAGAGUGUGUCAGAGGGAGGUAGAAUUCCACGUGUAGCAGUGAAAUGCGUAGAGAUGUGGAGGAAUACCGAUGGCGAAGGCAGCCUCCUGGGAUAACACUGACGUUCAUGCUCGAAAGCGUGGGUAGCAAACAGGAUUAGAUACCCUGGUAGUC